ACCCGCUGAACUUAAGCAUAUCAGUAAGCGGAGGAAAAGAAACUAACGAGGAUUCCCGUAGUAACGGCGAGUGAACUGGGAAGAGUCCAGCGCUGAAUCGCGGUGUCUCUGAUACUGUGAGGUGUAGCGUAUAGACAGUGAGCUUGGGUUGGGCUGCCCGUUCAAGUUUCCCUUGACCGGGGCUCCAUAGAAGGUGCAAGACCUGUCCAACGGGUGGCGCCAGCCCAUUUUCGCUUGUCUCGGAGUCGGGUUGUUUGGGAUCGCAGCCCAAAGCAGGUGGUAAACUUCAUCUAAGACUGAAUAUGACUACGAGUCCGAUAGCGAACAAGUACCGUGAGGGAAAGUUGCAAAGCACUUUGAAGAGAGAGUUAAAGAGGACGUGAAACCGGUGAGGUGGAAACGGACAGAGCUGGCGUAUCUGGCCUGCAUUCAGCCUUGGGUUCUCUAACGUUAUGGUGGUGCUCUCCAGAUUGGGAGUUGCCGUUUCUGUUGGGGGAUUCGUGGUGCAUUUGCAGGUGGAGUGCGCUGAGGCGCUUAAGGCAGCGGCAUGGUUUUGGCUUUGAGGCUAGCCUCGCAAGAGGUCUGGUACCCGAGCAAGAGGAGUGCUGUUUGCUUUGAGUGUAUAAAUAGGCAAUGGAUUCGGGCUUGAGUGGGUGCCGAGCUGGAGGUCGGUGGCGGUCGCGUGCGACACGCGCCAGCAGUCAGUUCGGUCCUGCUUGAGCUCUCAUCAGCCUGUCCUCGGUGUAAAAGCCGGUCAUCUGUCCGACCCGUCUUGAAACACGGACCAAGGAGUUUAGCGUGUGCGCGAGUCAUUGGGUGUUGAAAACCCAAAGGCGUAAUGAAAGUGAAGGCGUCCCUUGUGGAGCUGAUGUGUGAUCCUGGUCACUGCGGUGCUUCCGGGCGCAACAUAGUCCCGUCCUGAUCGCUUGCGGUGGGGCGGAGACAGAGCGUACGCGCUGAGACCCGAAAGAUGGUGAACUAUUCCUGAGCAGGAUGAAGCCAGAGGAAACUCUGGUGGAAGUCCGAAGCGAUUCUGACGUGCAAAUCGAUCGUCUGACUUGGGUAUAGGGGCGAAA
This 1076-nucleotide ribosomal RNA is filed under the name Hoplolaimus stephanus. RNAcentral's name for it is "eukaryotic LSU rRNA". It matches the Rfam family "Eukaryotic large subunit ribosomal RNA", at positions 23 to 928 of the family's 3401-position model. The record is from RNAcentral. Lineage: Eukaryota; Metazoa; Nematoda; Chromadorea; Rhabditida; Hoplolaimidae.